This 137-nucleotide unclassified non-coding RNA is filed under the name uncultured Hyaloscyphaceae. RNAcentral describes it as "sequence contains ITS2". The record is from RNAcentral. Lineage: Eukaryota; Fungi; Ascomycota; Leotiomycetes; Helotiales.
CAACCCUCAAGCCUAGCUUGGUAUUGGGCCUCGUCGUUUUGGCGGGCCUUAAAAUCAGUAACAGUGUCGUAGAGGCCCUGAGCGUAGUACAUAUCCUCGCUAUAGGGACUCCCACGGCCUUUAACCCUCACUUCUAA